This 566-nucleotide ribosomal RNA is filed under the name uncultured bacterium. Its description in RNAcentral is "partial 16S ribosomal RNA". It matches the Rfam family "Bacterial small subunit ribosomal RNA", at positions 355 to 914 of the family's 1533-position model. The record is from RNAcentral.
UGGGGAAUUUUGGACAAUGGGCGAAAGCCUGAUCCAGCAAUGCCGCGUGCGUGAAGAAGGCCUUCGGGUUGUAAAGCACUUUUGUCCGGAAAGAAAUCCUUGGCUCUAAUACAGUCGGGGGAUGACGGUACCGGAAGAAUAAGCACCGGCUAACUACGUGCCAGCAGCCGCGGUAAUACGUAGGGUGCAAGCGUUAAUCGGAAUUACUGGGCGUAAAGCGUGCGCAGGCGGUUUGCUAAGACCGAUGUGAAAUCCCCGGGCUCAACCUGGGAACUGCAUUGGUGACUGGCAGGCUAGAGUAUGGCAGAGGGGGGUAGAAUUCCACGUGUAGCAGUGAAAUGCGUAGAGAUGUGGAGGAAUACCGAUGGCGAAGGCAGCCCCCUGGGCCAAUACUGACGCUCAUGCACGAAAGCGUGGGGAGCAAACAGGAUUAGAUACCCUGGUAGUCCACGCCCUAAACGAUGUCAACUAGUUGUUGGGGAUUCAUUUCCUUAGUAACGUAGCUAACGCGUGAAGUUGACCGCCUGGGGAGUACGGUCGCAAGAUUAAAACUCAAAUGAAUUGAC